CCUACGGGAGGCAGCAGUUAGGAAUUUUCCACAAUGGGCGCAAGCCUGAUGGAGCAACGCCGCGUGCAGGAUGAAGGUUUUCGGAUUGUAAACUGCUUUUAUGUGUGAAGCGGUAACACAUGAAUAAGGAUCGGCUAACUCCGUGCCAGCAGCCGCGGUCAUACGGAGGAUCCAAGCGUUAUCCGGAUUUACUGGGCGUAAAGAGUGCGUAGGUGGUUUGUUAAGUGAAUAGUGAAAUCUGGUGGCUCAACCAUCAACACAUUAUUCAAACUGGCAAACUCGAGAAUGAGAGAGGUCACUGGAAUUCCCUGUGUAGGAGUGAAAUCCGUAGAUAUAGGGAGGAACACCAAUGGCGUAGGCAGGUGACUGCCAUUUCUGACACUGAGGCACGAAAGCGUGGGGAGCGAACGGGAUUAGAUACCCUGGUAGUC
RNAcentral lists this ribosomal RNA (431 nucleotides) under uncultured bacterium. RNAcentral describes it as "partial 16S ribosomal RNA". It matches the Rfam family "Bacterial small subunit ribosomal RNA", at positions 338 to 795 of the family's 1533-position model. The record is from RNAcentral.